RNAcentral lists this unclassified non-coding RNA (360 nucleotides) under Hevea brasiliensis (rubber tree). The record is from RNAcentral. Lineage: Eukaryota; Viridiplantae; Streptophyta; Magnoliopsida; Malpighiales; Euphorbiaceae.
UCCUUUUUGAAACGCAAGGUUUCAGCACGCACAACUGGAGAGUUUAUAAGGUAUAUUCUUAAAGCAUCAGCUCCAUAAUCAUUGAUGACCUCCAUAGGCGAUGGAUAGUUUUUCAAUUUUUUACUCAUCUUUUUUCCAUCCUCUGCCAGGACAAGUCCAUUGCAAACAAGAUUCCUAAAUGCGGGCUUCCCAAAUAAUGCAGUAGACAACACCAUAAGAGUAUAGAACCAUCCACGAGUUUGAUCUAGCCCUUCAGCAAUGAAUUGCCCAGGAAAAUUUUUCUCAAAAAGUUCAACAUUCUCAAAUGGGUAAUGGAUAUAAGCAUAAGGCAUUGACCCACUCUCAAACCAACAAUCAAAU